UAUUGCGCAAUGGGCGAAAGCCUGACGCAGCGACGCCGCGUGAGGGAUGAAGGUCUUCGGAUCGUAAACCUCUGUCAGCAGGGCAGAACGGUCACUGUGCUAAUCAGCAGUGAAUUGACGGUACCUGCAAAGGAAGCACCGGCUAACUCCGUGCCAGCGGCCGCGGUAAUACGGAGGGUGCGAGCGGCAAUCGGCAUUACUGGGCGUAAAGCGCUCGUAGGCGGUAUGUCAAGUCAAGGGUGAAAUCCCCGCGCUCAACGGGGGAACGGCCUUUGAAACUGGCAAACCGGAGUGUGUGAGAGGAUAGUGGAAUUCCAGGUGUAGGAGUGAAAUCCGUAGAUAUCUGGAGGAACAUCAGUGGCGAAGGCGACUAUCUGGCACAUAACUGACGCUGAGGAGCGAAAGCGUGGGUAGCAAACAGG
RNAcentral lists this ribosomal RNA (422 nucleotides) under uncultured bacterium. RNAcentral's name for it is "bacterial SSU rRNA". It matches the Rfam family "Bacterial small subunit ribosomal RNA", at positions 362 to 776 of the family's 1533-position model. The record is from RNAcentral.